This 305-nucleotide ribosomal RNA is filed under the name uncultured bacterium. RNAcentral describes it as "bacterial SSU rRNA". It matches the Rfam family "Bacterial small subunit ribosomal RNA", at positions 338 to 641 of the family's 1533-position model. The record is from RNAcentral.
CCUACGGGGGGCAGCAGUGAGGAAUAUUGGUCAAUGGGAGAGAUCCUGAACCAGCCAAGCCGCGUGAGGGAAGACGGCCCUAUGGGUUGUAAACCUCUUUUGUCGGAGAACAAAACCCGGGACGUGUCCCGGACUGCGUGUAUCCGAAGAAAAAGCAUCGGCUAACUCCGUGCCAGCAGCCGCGGUAAUACGGAGGAUGCGAGCGUUAUCCGGAAUGAUUGGGCGUAAAGGGUGCGCAGGCGGCAUGUCAAGUCUGAAGUGAAAGGUACGGGCUUAACCUGUACAGGCUUUGGAAACUGGCAUGC